This 359-nucleotide long non-coding RNA is filed under the name Haliotis rufescens (red abalone). RNAcentral describes it as "uncharacterized LOC125384294". Lineage: Eukaryota; Metazoa; Mollusca; Gastropoda; Lepetellida; Haliotidae. The record is from RNAcentral.
CACUGUUUCCCUUUCAGCUGUUAUCUACAGCGAGACCUGCAGGGAUCAGAAAGACUGUAAUCACGUGACAUGUGACAGUUCCUAAAAGUUGGGCUGCUCUCAUGGAGGAUGUACCUGCCUGACUUCCGCCACUGCUGGUUCCUGCGCUCAAGAUGAGAGUACGAUUUGCCUUUUUUGAGCCACAUGCAGCGCCCGUGUCGACUGCGACAGCUGCAGAUGUAGAGACAGCCGUGCUUCACACCACUACUACGAUGGGCACUGUCUCUGUGGACGUGGAUUUGGACCUGACAUUGGCAAACAAACUUUGAGGCAGAGGAUCAAUCAACUAUUUAUUGUUUUUGCACCAUUGUGUACUUAUG